UGAGUAACCUGCCCCUCACUCUGGGAUAAGCGCUGGAAACGGCGUCUAAUACCGGAUACGACCUUCGGAGGCAUCUCCAGGAGGUGGAAAGAAUUUCGGUGAGGGAUGGACUCGCGGCCUAUCAGGUAGUUGGUGAGGUAAUGGCUCACCAAGCCGACGACGGGUAGCCGGCCUGAGAGGGUGACCGGCCACACUGGGACUGAGACACGGCCCAGACUCCGUACGGGAGG
This 230-nucleotide ribosomal RNA is filed under the name uncultured bacterium. RNAcentral describes it as "partial 16S ribosomal RNA". It matches the Rfam family "Bacterial small subunit ribosomal RNA", at positions 118 to 348 of the family's 1533-position model. The record is from RNAcentral.